UACAGAGACCUCAAACGUUAUCCGGAUUCAUUGGGCGUAAAGCGUCCGCAGGUGGUUUGGUAAGUGAGUGGUUAAAUCCCGGGGCUCAACUUCGGGGCUGCCGUUCAUACUGCCAAGCUCGAGGAUGGAAGAGGUAAGCGGAAUUCUCGGUGUAGUCGUAAUAAGCGCUGAUAUCGAGAAGAGCACCAAAGGCGAAGGCAGCUUACUGGUACAUUCCUGACACUCAUGGACGAAAGCGUGGGGAGCGAAUAGG
RNAcentral lists this ribosomal RNA (253 nucleotides) under uncultured bacterium. RNAcentral describes it as "partial 16S ribosomal RNA". It matches the Rfam family "Bacterial small subunit ribosomal RNA", at positions 524 to 776 of the family's 1533-position model. The record is from RNAcentral.